AGAGUUUGAUCAUGGCUCAGAAUCAACGCUGGCGGCGCGCCUAACACAUGCAAGUCGAACGAGAAAGGGGAGCAAUCCCUGAGUAAAGUGGCGCACGGGUGAGUAACACGUGGGUCAUCCACCCUUUGGCGGGGAAUAACCCUGGGAAACCGGGGCUAAUACCGCAUAAGUCCGAGAGGAGAAAGUCGCAAGACGCCGAAGGAGGAGCCCGCGCCCGAUUAGCUAGUUGGUGGGGUAAGAGUUCACCAAGGCGACGAUCGGUAGCCGGCCUGAGAGGGCACACGGCCACACUGGCACUGAAACACGGGCCAGACUCCUACGGGAGGCAGCAGUGGGGAAUCUUGCACAAUGGGGGAAACCCUGAUGCAGCGACGCCGCGUGAACGAUGAAGCCCUUCGGGGUGUAAAGUUCUUUCGGCAGGGACGAUAAUGACGGUACCUGCAGAAGCAGCUGCGGCUAACUACGUGCCAGCAGCCGCGGUAAUACGUAGGCAGCAAGCGUUGUUCGGAAUUACUGGGCGUAAAGAGUGCGUAGGCGGUUGGCUAAGUUUGGUGUGAAAUCUCCCGGCUCAACUGGGAGGGUGCGCCGAAAACUGGCUGGCUAGAGUGCGGGAGAGGAUAGUGGAAUUCCUGGUGUAGCGGUGAAAUGCGUAGAUAUCAGGAGGAACACCUGAGGUGUAGACGGCUAUCUGGACCGUAACUGACGCUGAGGCACGAAAGCGUGGGGAGCAAACAGGAUUAGAUACCCCGGUAGU
RNAcentral lists this ribosomal RNA (754 nucleotides) under uncultured bacterium. Its description in RNAcentral is "bacterial SSU rRNA". It matches the Rfam family "Bacterial small subunit ribosomal RNA", at positions 8 to 794 of the family's 1533-position model. The record is from RNAcentral.